AGUGAACGCUGGCGGUAGGCCUAACACAUGCAAGUCGAACGGCAGCACAGUAAGAGGUUGCUCUUACGGGUGGCGAGUGGCGGACGGGUGAGGAAUACGUCGGAAUCUACUUUUUCGUGGGGGAUAACGUAGGGAAACUUACGCUAAUACCGCAUACGACCUACGGGUGAAAGCAGGGGAUCUUCGGACCUUGCGCGAUUGAAUGAGCCGAUGUCGGAUUAGCUAGUUGGCGGGGUAAAGGCCCACCAAGGCGACGAUCCGUAGCUGGUCUGAGAGGAUGAUCAGCCACACUGGAACUGAGACACGGUCCAGACUCCUACGGGAGGCAGCAGUGGGGAAUAUUGGACAAUGGGCGCAAGCCUGAUCCAGCCAUACCGCGUGGGUGAAGAAGGCCUUCGGGUUGUAAAGCCCUUUUGUUGGGAAAGAAAAGCAGCAGGUUAAUACCCCGCUGUUCUGACGGUACCCAAAGAAUAAGCACCGGCUAACUUCGUG
RNAcentral lists this ribosomal RNA (492 nucleotides) under uncultured bacterium. RNAcentral describes it as "partial 16S ribosomal RNA". It matches the Rfam family "Bacterial small subunit ribosomal RNA", at positions 29 to 507 of the family's 1533-position model. The record is from RNAcentral.